AUUAUGUUUUUUAUUUAUUGGUAUUGCAUAUCAUUUAAGGAAAAUUUUAUAGUUAUAAUUAAUAAAAUUAAAAGGUUGAAAGUUUUAUUAUUUUUAUUGUUUCAUAAUAAAAAUUAUAAGUUUUAGGGUUGAAAUGUCGACUUUUAAAAUAUUUGUGUUUUGUAAAAAAUUAGAAAUUUAUUAUUAAUAUUAAAAAUUUUAUAAAUAGUAAAAGUUGAAGUAUUUUUAUUAUUAGUUUUAUAACUAUUUAUGUAAUUUUAGUAUAAUUAAAAUUUAAUAUUUUAUAAUAAUUUAUUAUUAUAUUAAUAAUUUUAGGAUUAGUAAUUUUUUUUAAAUUUAAUAAUUUUUAUAAAUUUAAUUAAAAAACUCAAAAAUUAAUCAAAUGUUUAUUAAAAACUUAGACUUUUAAAUAAAGUUUGCUUCUGCCCAAUGAUUUUAAUUAAAUGGCAGUCUUAGCGUGAGGACAUUAAGGUAGCAAAAUAAUUUGUGCUUUUAUUGGGUUCCAGUAUGAAUGAAGUUAUUGGUUAAUUUUAUUUUAGUUUUUAAAUGAAUUUAUUUUUAAUAAUAAAAAGGUAUUGUUAUAAUAAAACAAAGAUAAGUCUUCGGAAAUUUUUUUUUAAUUGUAAUGUUAAUUAUUUUUAAAAAUUUUCUAGGGCAGAAUUUUAUAUAAUUGUUAUUUCUAUUUAUAAAUUAAAGAAUUACUCCGGAGUUAACAGAAAAUCAUAUCUAAUCUAGUACUUAUAGUAGGAUAAGUUUUACAUCGAUGUUGUAUUUAAGUAUAUUAAAAAGGGAGAAGAUUUAAAGUUUAAGACUGUUCUUCUUUUAAUUAAUUUAACGUGAUAUUAGUUUAAUUCAUUGUAAGAUAGAAUUGUUUAUCUUGUUUAUUAUUUUUAGUUAGUUUUAAUAGUACGAAAGGAAAUUUAAAAAAGGUUAUAAACUUUUGUAGGUUAAAAGCUUA
RNAcentral lists this ribosomal RNA (958 nucleotides) under Macroponema beveridgei. Its description in RNAcentral is "large subunit ribosomal RNA". Lineage: Eukaryota; Metazoa; Nematoda; Chromadorea; Rhabditida; Strongylidae. The record is from RNAcentral.